UACGGGGGGGGCAAGCGUUGCUCGGAAUUACUGGGCGUAAAGGGCGCGUAGGCGGUCCUGAUCGUCGGAUGUGAAAGGCCUGGGCUCAACCUGGGAACUGCAUCCGAUACGGCGGGACUGGAGUGUGGGAGAGGUUGGUGGAAUUCCCAGUGUAGAGGUGAAAUUCGUAGAUAUUGGGAAGAACACCGGUGGCGAAGGCGGCCAACUGGACCACAACUGACGCUGAGGUGCGAAAGCGUGGGGAGCAAACAGG
RNAcentral lists this ribosomal RNA (253 nucleotides) under uncultured bacterium. RNAcentral describes it as "partial 16S ribosomal RNA". It matches the Rfam family "Bacterial small subunit ribosomal RNA", at positions 524 to 776 of the family's 1533-position model. The record is from RNAcentral.